AAACUAAUAGUUUAAGAUCACAGAAAUUUAGGAAGAGUCCAUUCAAACCUGGCAUAACCAAAGCCUAGCCACAAAAUCCUAAUCUUGCACCAAAACUAUAUACUAUUUGAAAAAAAAUAAAAAUGCUAUGAUUAUAUAGAUAAAUUUGAUGUAGCUAGAAUUAUUUUUAUUUUAAUUUACAGGUUAUGUUCGAUGGUAGAUCUACUGAAAUUUGGGUGGCCCACACAAUUUUGGAUCAUUUUGGAUGGAUCUAGACCUAUUUUUAAAGCUUGA
This 273-nucleotide long non-coding RNA is filed under the name Elaeis guineensis (African oil palm). RNAcentral describes it as "long non-coding RNA (EGUI_LNC003061)". The record is from RNAcentral. Lineage: Eukaryota; Viridiplantae; Streptophyta; Magnoliopsida; Arecales; Arecaceae.